AUACCCGUUAGGGCGAUCGCCACUGGACAACGAAUCUUACCAAACGGAACUAGCCACCAGUUUCAACAUUACUAUGACUAUAUAGACUUCAGAGUAGAUAUUAGCGACUAUUCUGUCUUUGAGACUCCAAAAGGUGUAUAUUGUCCUGGGCGUAAUAAUACAAGACCCGUACCAAAGCCAAGUUCUUCCUUUCACUACAAGGCAGAGAUUAUUUACCAACAGUCACUGGCUAUCACCUCAUUAGAUAUAUGGUACGAUAGUGAGCUUAACCUUAUGAGAAUGGACUACAGACCAACAACACCAACGAGAACAUCGUACAAUACAGAUUCAUUAAGUGAAGUGCAUGA
This is a long non-coding RNA of Mytilus californianus (California mussel), 347 nucleotides long. RefSeq lists it as uncharacterized. Lineage: Eukaryota; Metazoa; Mollusca; Bivalvia; Mytilida; Mytilidae. The transcript has 3 exons. The record is from RefSeq and is a predicted model, not a curated record.